RNAcentral lists this unclassified non-coding RNA (313 nucleotides) under Mycena rebaudengoi. Its description in RNAcentral is "sequence contains 5.8S rRNA gene". The stretch from base 1 to 53 matches the Rfam family "5.8S ribosomal RNA", at positions 102 to 154 of the family's 154-position model. The record is from RNAcentral. Lineage: Eukaryota; Fungi; Basidiomycota; Agaricomycetes; Agaricales; Mycenaceae.
GAACGCACCUUGCGCCCUUUGGUAUUCCGAAGGGCAUGCCUGUUUGAGUGUCAUUAAAUUAUCAACCUUGCUCGCUUUUACCGGCUUGAGCUGAGGCUUGGACGUGGGGGUUUUUGCUGGCUUCCUUCAGUGGAUGGUCUGCUCCCCUUAAAUUCAUUAGCGGGAUCUCUUGUGGACCGUCACUUGGUGUGAUAAUUAUCUAUGCCGUUUGACCUUGAAGCAAAUUUAUGGGACCCUGCUUAUAACCGUCUCUUACCGGGACAAUUUAAUAACAUCUUGACCUCAAAUCAGGUAGGACUACCCGCUGAACUUA